GGUUAAGCGACUAAGCGUACACGGUGGAUGCCCUGGCAGUCAGAGGCGAUGAAGGACGUGCUAAUCUGCGAUAAGCGUCGGUAAGGUGAUAUGAACCGUUAUAACCGGCGAUUUCCGAAUGGGGAAACCCAGUGUGUUUCGACACACUAUCAUUAACUGAAUCCAUAGGUUAAUGAGGCGAACCGGGGGAACUGAAACAUCUAAGUACCCCGAGGAAAAGAAAUCAACCGAGAUUCCC
This 238-nucleotide ribosomal RNA is filed under the name Escherichia coli. RNAcentral describes it as "partial 23S ribosomal RNA". It matches the Rfam family "Bacterial large subunit ribosomal RNA", at positions 1 to 239 of the family's 2925-position model. The record is from RNAcentral. Lineage: Bacteria; Pseudomonadati; Pseudomonadota; Gammaproteobacteria; Enterobacterales; Enterobacteriaceae. RNAcentral also lists the same sequence under 2 other names.